This 378-nucleotide unclassified non-coding RNA is filed under the name soil metagenome. RNAcentral describes it as "partial contains 5.8S ribosomal RNA, internal transcribed spacer 2, and large subunit ribosomal RNA". The stretch from base 1 to 120 matches the Rfam family "5.8S ribosomal RNA", at positions 35 to 154 of the family's 154-position model. The record is from RNAcentral.
GAUGAAGAACGUAGCGAAAUGCGAUAAGUAAUGUGAAUUGCAGAAUUCAGUGAAUCAUCGAAUCUUUGAACGCACCUUGCACCCUUUGGCAUUCCGAAGGGUAUGCUCGUUUGAGUGUCAUUGUACUCUCACACUUCCAAUUCUUUGGAUUGGGAGCGGUGGACUUGGGUGCUGCUGCUUACCGUGGCUCACCUCAAAUGUGUUAGUGCAACCGUUGGUUAGACAUAGUACAGCGUGAUAAGUAUCUUCGCUGGCGCCUCACUCGAGGGUGGCUGAUCAGGGCUCUGUGCCCCAAUCGUCUUCGGACAAUCACUGACAACUUGACCUCAAAUCGAGUAGGACUACCCGCUGAACUUAAGCAUAUCAAUAAGCGGAGGA